RNAcentral lists this long non-coding RNA (990 nucleotides) under Mus musculus (house mouse). Its description in RNAcentral is "predicted gene, 33351". The record is from RNAcentral. Lineage: Eukaryota; Metazoa; Chordata; Mammalia; Rodentia; Muridae.
AUUCUAGAAGGAUCAACGGCUGUAACUGACAGGUUCCAACUUCUAUGCUUAUCAACAUAGAUCAAGCUGAGAACCCAGAGGAACAAACGAGGCUCAUGAACCAGAGACCUGAGCUGAUUUCUUGGUUAUUCUAGAUUGCUCUUUGGGAGAUUUCAGUCCAUGGUAUGGGGACAGUGCAAUGGGCUGGACGUUUGUGCCAACUUCAUACAUUGGAACUCUGCCUGUGUGGCUCUGCCUGGAGAUGGGGACUUUGGGAAGCAUUUGGAUCAGACAAUAGUGCUCCCCUGUAGAGAUGGGGCCCUUGUAAGAAGAGAAGAGAUGACUCGUUUCCUCUCAGAAUCUGGUGCCAUAUAAGGACACAGCAAGAAUCCAAGAAUCUGUGCCCACUGAAAUCUCUCUGAAAUCCCACCACCUAUCACUGUAAGAUCAGUCGCCCCAGCCUUCAGAAUGCGCCCUUCAGGUAAAUCACAUGUCCUGAGUGUCCUGGCCACUGUCACAGACUCCACAGACCAAUGGACCCUGCGAUCCCUAUGUUUUGUUGACCCAGUAAGAUCCCAGCUACUCUUGAUGGAAGCCAGUGGUGAUAAAAGUGAAUUCAGCUUCUUUGGUUUCGUUUGGUUUCCUGUCCUACUGUGAAGCAUCGAGAAGGCCAUUACUAGAGAACAGACUUCGAGGACUCCAGAAUCACAAGCUAAGACCACGGCUGUCUUCUUCUGGAGGCAGAUAGGAAGAAGAAGUUCAAGGUCUGAUCUGUCAUCUAACACCCUUGGCAAACCUCUCCCAAGAGGGAUCCCUAAAGAAAUGCUGCUCCUUUCUCUGAGUCACUGAAGACAUUUGGGGAUAAUUGGAUACCCAGCUUUGGGGCACCAAGUGGGCAGCUGGUGUUCACCUCCCCGAGGACCAUGCCAAGCUGGCAGGAAUCUGGUUCAUUGCUCUGUAAGUGAUUGCAGUGGGAGAGGAAAGAACAUGCCAUUCGCUCCAUUUGUUAAA